AGUCAAGUAAUUAAGUGCAUGUGGUGGAUGCCUUGGCAGUCAGAGGCGAUGAAAGACGUGAUAGCCUGCGAAAAGCUCCGGGGAGGCGGCAAAUAUCCUUUGAUCCGGAGAUUUCUGAAUGGGGGAACCCACCUACUUUAAGGUAGGUAUUGCAACAUGAAUACAUAGUGUUGCAAGGCGAACGAGGGGAAGUGAAACAUCUCAGUACCCUUAGGAAAAGAAAUCAAUUGAGAUUCCCUCAGUAGCGGCGAGCGAACGGGGAUCAGCCCAUUAAGUUAUGUGUGUUUUAGUGGAACGCUCUGGGAAGUGCGAACGUAGAGGGUGAUAUUCCCGUACACGAAAGGGCACACAUAAUGAUGACGAGUAGGGCGAGGCACGUGAAACCUUGUCUGAAUAUGGGGGGACCAUCCUCCAAGGCUAAAUACUCCUGACUGACCGAUAGUGAACCAGUACCGUGAGGGAAAGGCGAAAAGAACCCCUGUGAGGGGAGUGAAAUAGAUCCUGAAACCGCAUGCAUACAAGCAGUGGGAGCACCUUCGUGGUGUGACUGCGUACCUUUUGUAUAAUGGGUCAGCGACUUAUAUUCAGUAGCGAGGUUAACCGUAUAGGGGAGCCGUAGAGAAAUCGAGUCUUAAUAGGGCGUUUAGUUGCUGGGUAUAGACCCGAAACCAGGCGAUCUAUCCAUGAGCAGGUUGAAGGUUGGGUAACACUAACUGGAGGACCGAACCCACUGUCGUUGAAAAGCCAGGGGAUGACUUGUGGAUAGGGGUGAAAGGCUAAUCAAGCCUGGUGAUAGCUGGUUCUCCCCGAAAGCUAUUUAGGUAGCGCCUCGGACGAAUACCAUAGGGGGUAGAGCACUGUUUCGGCUAGGGGGUCAUCCCGACUUACCAAACCGAUGCAAACUCCGAAUACCUAUGAGUACUAUCCGGGAGACAGACUGCGGGUGCUAACGUCCGUAGUCAAGAGGAAAACAAUCCAGACCGCCAGCUAAGGCCCCAAAAUCAUAGUUAAGUGGGAAACGAUGUGGGAAGGCAUAGACAGCUAGGAGGUUGGCUUAGAAGCAGCCACCCUUUAAAGAAAGCGUAAUAGCUCACUAGUCGAGUCGGCCUGCGCGGAAGAUGUAACGGGGCUAAAACUAUGUGCCGAAGCUGCGGAUGUAUACUUUGUAUACGUGGUAGGGGAGCGUUCUGUAAGCCGAUGAAGGUGUGUUGAGAAGCAUGCUGGAGGUAUCAGAAGUGCGAAUGCUGACGUGAGUAACGACAAAACGGGUGAAAAACCCGUUCGCCGAAAGACCAAGGGUUCCAGUCCAACGUUAAUCGGGGCUGGGUGAGUCGACCCCUAAGGCGAGGCCGAAAGGCGUAGUCGAUGGGAAAAUGGUUAAUAUUCCAUUACUUCUGUGUAAUGCGAUGAGAGGACGGAGAAGGCUAAAUCAGCCUGGCGUUGGUUGUCCAGGUGAAAGGAUGUAGGCAUGUAUCUUAGGCAAAUCCGGGGUACUCUAUGCUGAGAUCUGAUAGCAAGCUGUACUUGUACAGCGAAGUGGUUGAUGCCAUGCUUCCAGGAAAAGUCUCUAAGCUUCAGUUACACAGGAAUCGUACCCGAAACCGACACAGGUGGUCAGGUCGAGUAGACCAAGGCGCUUGAGAGAACUCUGCUGAAGGAACUAGGCAAAAUGGUACCGUAACUUCGGGAGAAGGUACGCUGUUGUUGGUGAUGGAACUUGCUUCCUGAGCUGACGACAGCCGCAGAAACCAGGCCGCUGCAACUGUUUAUUAAAAACAUAGCACUCUGCAAACACGAAAGUGGACGUAUAGGGUGUGAUGCCUGCCCGGUGCUGGAAGGUUAAUUGAUGGGGUUAGCGUAAGCGAAGCUCUUGAUCGAAGCCCCAGUAAACGGCGGCCGUAACUAUAACGGUCCUAAGGUAGCGAAAUUCCUUGUCGGGUAAGUUCCGACCUGCACGAAUGGCAUAAUGAUGGCGGCGCUGUCUCCAGCAGAGGCUCAGUGAAAUCGAAAUCGCUGUGAAGAUGCAGUGUACCCGCGGCUAGACGGAAAGACCCCGUGAACCUUUACUGCAGCUUGACACUGAACUUUGACCUUACUUGUGUAGGAUAGGUGGGAGGCUUUGAAGCUGGAACGCUAGUUCCAGUGGAGCCGUCCUUGAAAUACCACCCUGGUAAUGUUGAGGUUCUAACUCUGUCCCGUGAUCCGGGACGAGGACCGUGUCUGGUGGGUAGUUUGACUGGGGCGGUCUCCUCCUAAAGAGUAACGGAGGAGUACGAAGGUGCGCUCAGCGUGGUCGGAAAUCACGCGUAGAGUAUAAAGGCAAAAGCGCGCUUAACUGCGAGACCCACAAGUCGAGCAGGUACGAAAGUAGGUCUUAGUGAUCCGGUGGUUCUGUAUGGAAGGGCCAUCGCUCAACGGAUAAAAGGUACUCUGGGGAUAACAGGCUGAUACCGCCCAAGAGUUCAUAUCGACGGCGGUGUUUGGCACCUCGAUGUCGGCUCAUCUCAUCCUGGGGCUGAAGCAGGUCCCAAGGGUAUGGCUGUUCGCCAUUUAAAGAGGUACGCGAGCUGGGUUUAGAACGUCGUGAGACAGUUCGGUCCCUAUCUACCGUGGGCGCUGGAAAUUUGAGAGGAUCUGCUCCUAGUACGAGAGGACCAGAGUGGACGAACCUCUGGUGUACCGGUUGUGACGCCAGUCGCAUCGCCGGGUAGCUAUGUUCGGAAGGGAUAACCGCUGAAAGCAUCUAAGCGGGAAGCCUACCUCAAGAUAAGAUUUCCCUAGGACUUUAUGUCCUCUAAAGAGCCGUUCGAGACUAGGACGUUGAUAGGUUGGAUGUGGAAGCAUAGUGAUAUGUGAAGCUGACCAAUACUAAUUGCUCGUGAGGCUUGACUAU
Molecule: ribosomal RNA, 2893 nt
Filed under: Acinetobacter baumannii
Lineage: Bacteria; Pseudomonadati; Pseudomonadota; Gammaproteobacteria; Moraxellales; Moraxellaceae
Description: 23S ribosomal RNA
Rfam family: Bacterial large subunit ribosomal RNA
Source: RNAcentral